Molecule: ribosomal RNA, 274 nt
Filed under: uncultured bacterium
Lineage: Bacteria
Description: partial 16S ribosomal RNA
Rfam family: Bacterial small subunit ribosomal RNA
Source: RNAcentral
CUACGGAGGGUGCGAGCGUUAUCCGGAUUUAUUAGGUUUAAAGGGUGUGUUGGCGGGAGCCUAAGUCAGUUGUGAAAUCUCUCAGCUUAACUGUGAAACUGCCAUUGAAACUGGGUUUCUUGAGUAUAGUUGAGGUAGGCGGAAUGUGUAAUGAAGCGGUGAAAUGCAUAGAUAUUACACAGAACACCGAUUGCGAAGGCAGCUUACUAAGCUAUUACUGACGCUGAUGCACGAAAGCGUAGGUAGCGAACAGGAUUAGAAACCCUAGUAGUCC